RNAcentral lists this long non-coding RNA (726 nucleotides) under Mytilus galloprovincialis (Mediterranean mussel). Lineage: Eukaryota; Metazoa; Mollusca; Bivalvia; Mytilida; Mytilidae. The record is from RNAcentral.
AAUAGUUUGAAAUUUGAAGUUUUAUAAAUGUUCAAUAUUUCAUUGCUUGACAUAUCUUGGAUGUAGAUAUAAGAUGUAUAAAUUUUAUGUGAUAGUUUGUAUUUAUUUACUAUGAAUAACGGAUUUAUUAUGCAAGGCAGAGCAUUUAAAAAAUACAUAUAUAAUGCAAAAUUUCUAACAUAUAGCUUUUGAACUUAUAAUUAUAUAUCUGUUUAUUACCUAUACUGCAAAUUUCUCAUAAUAUUAAAUGGGAAUGUCAGAAGGUACUGUUUGCUAACUUAAAGUUUUUAUUUAAGAUUGGGUUUUAAAUCAACCACAUAUCAUUGCAUGUUUUAAGCAACACUUGAUAUGAGAGUAAGGAUAAUUUAAUGAGAGAGAGAAAAAAAACCAGAACAAACUUUUAAGUUAACGCAUACAAAUUAUGUAAGAUGUAAUAAGAAAUAUUACCAAAGGGAGAUAAUUUUGUUAAUAUGUAUUAUCUCCCCUUAGAAUACAGGUGAGGAUAGAUUUAUUUAAACUCAUGACAGUAAAAAAAAUGUAGCUUUAAUUGAAAUUGACUUAAGCUUCAUCUCUGACCCUCUUACAUGCCUUGAAAUAACAAACUUGAUAUUAAUAUAUAGUUAAGUAGUCAAUAGGAUGUGCUUUUUUGUGUUAGAACAUUAGAUUGAUUUUGAAUACUUUUUUCAUUAAUAUUCUCACAAUCAAUAUGGCCAAUUUUGUUGCAAG